Non-coding RNA from Anas platyrhynchos (mallard), 365 nucleotides. The record is from RefSeq and is a predicted model, not a curated record. Lineage: Eukaryota; Metazoa; Chordata; Aves; Anseriformes; Anatidae.
UAAGGUGAAACACAGUGUACAACACGGGACUUGACCAUAGCUGCUUUUGGCAAGGGGUGUUGUAGCUGGCCUAAGAGAGCAGGUGGAAGCAUCUUCCUUGAGGGUGUCUCGCACAGGCUGAGUGGGGGCCAAGCUGCACUCUGAAGAGCAGCACGAGAAGGGCGGGCUGGUUGUGCCAUGGCAGGCUCUCCACAGAAGCGGUUGAGGAUUUGAGAAGAGGUUGCAGAUGAUCAAGGAGCGACACGUGCAGGGAUGGCUUGAAAAGGGUAUGGCUGCUUUCUCUUCUGUUUAUCAGGUGUCCCAGGCAACGUGGGCUGUGAUGUUAGUCUUUAGAAUAGGAACAAAGCAGGUGCUGAUGGACGUCU